CAGCCAUUUCAACAUGGCAGCUGACAGUGGAGCGAUGAGUGAACUUAUUUGAAGAAAUUGUCGUGAUUCGUGAAUCGGUAUGGCUGUCCGCAAAAAGACUUCGCAUUUAUAUAGAGAAAUACUUUCAGCUUUACGGGCGGCGAAUCAUCAGUCGACCAGUAACCACGUGGAACAGGUUUCGAACUACAGAAACACGUACGGUUAUUCGUAUAUUAACUUGGUGUGUGAAAAUAAAAAUCUUUGCAAAGAUCAAAAUGCAUCUGGUCAUCUCCAAUACUUGGGAGAGACAUAUUUAUGUCUUUUGAAUAGCGUAAGAGCAGCGAAGGUAUUAUAUGACAGGUAUAAAGGUGGAGAGGACUCGGUUGAGAAGAUUGCCACUAAAGUAGGAUUCAAACUGCCUCCCACAAUAAAUUAUGAGUGAGUACUGUAUGUCAUAAUCUGAAAAUAGGCAUAUGAAUACUCCAGCUGUCCAGUCUUCAGUCUGCUGACCAGUGGUGAAAAGGAUGCUAAUAGGUACAUUAUUUAAAAUUAUCUAUUGGCUUGAAAAACUGGACUACUUGUCAUGUUGGUUUGUUAUAUAGUGUAGGUAGAGUAAAAAGAAUUUAGAUCAAAUUAAAAACAUUUAAGGUUCAAUAGAAAAUGCAAGUCUUCACCCUUUGGGCAAGUUCUUUGUGUGAGGCCCUUAUUUUUUUUCGGCUGCGCAGUUUGCAGAUAAUGUACCAGUCUUCUUUCAUGAUCAUGGAAAUCUACCAAAAUUUCAAAGUUUGUUAAGUACUCUGAUUUCAGCAAUAACAGAAACGGAUUGAAUUAGCUGGAAAGUAACAGAAUAUAAGCUGUUUAUGGCCCUAUAUAUAGAAUUUGUAUGUCAAGUGUUUUGGCUCAUAACUUCAUCCAUUCAUGAUUCAUUUCUUUACCUUGAAUUAUGUUCUUUUAUAACUGCAAGAUUCUGAGAUAUUUUUUCCUUGUGAUUUUAUAUGAGAUAACCACAUUCAAUCAGGUACAAAACUUGUCGCACAAUUAAUGAGAGCAUUUUGUUUUGGCCUUGGAAAGAUUUUUGUGACUUGAAGCAGCCCAAACAUAGUUGAGCUACUGUGGCCUGGCUAAUAUAAACAGCCCUCUCAGUUUUUACCUAAUUAGGUAAUUGAAAUUAGAUAAUGUGAAACACCUAGGUCUACAUUCCCAUAAGUUCACAGCCAGCCACUCAAUGUACGUGACAUAAAAAUUGUGUUUUUGUUUAUUGAUAAGAGCUAGAGCCUUUCCCCAGUCAACGAGCUUAUGUUUUCUCAAAACACAGGCACUAUAAAGGCAUUGGAAUAAUAUGACGGCAAUAUUAUCGGAGUUAACUGCAAUUGUCUAGUAUAGUUUGAAGUUAUUUGGAGACAUAUAGGUUAGCUGUUCAAAGAAAAUACGAAAACUAUUCAAAACUCGUAUUAUAUGACAUAGGAUUUGUACGAUUACAGUAUAUAAUUAGCUACUUUGACGUUGUUUCCAAAGAGUUGAUGAUUGCGAUGAAUGUGUUUAAUCGGUUGUUGACGUUCGUUCCAUAAACGACGUUCGUUGUGCGUCAAACGGAAAAGGUCAGGCGGAAAAAAAAUUGCGAUAAAGAAAAUGAAGUAAAAAUGUUCGUGAUAUUUUGAAACCCGGAUGCAGGAUGAUCUUAAUUUCUUGCAUAUUUUGAAGCUCGUUAACUCGGUUUUUUUAACGAAUUGCAAUGAAUGGGCGUCCCUUCCUGCCUGGCCAUUCCAGCCUUAUUCCCAUGCAAUGACUUUCGGUAUAAACUUGUAAAUUCGUAUUUUAUUAUAAGCCACCUGAUUCGAGAGUUCAAUGCGCUUCUGGCGUUCGUUUUAACGAAUCGAAUACCGGAUACACACCUUCCUUAUACACACCAAUCAUGUUAUAUGGAAGCAGGAAACACUUCAAUUUUGUGACUCUUCCGCACACGGAUAUAUACCAGUCGUGCAAGCAUGGGAACAUUGCUUGGACAAAAGGUAUUAUCAGGAAUUAGCCUGUCGCAUGAGUCAAUUUACGUAGGUCUUGAACAAAGAAAGACCUUAUUAGCAUCACGUCUCAUCAAAAUUUUUAGAUGUUUCACAUCAUUACAAAAUAAAGAAUCUUU
Dendronephthya gigantea is the source of this 2116-nucleotide long non-coding RNA. RefSeq lists it as uncharacterized. Lineage: Eukaryota; Metazoa; Cnidaria; Anthozoa; Malacalcyonacea; Nephtheidae. The transcript is spliced from 3 exons. The record is from RefSeq and is a predicted model, not a curated record.